This is a long non-coding RNA of Bactrocera dorsalis (oriental fruit fly), 1025 nucleotides long. RefSeq lists it as uncharacterized. The transcript is spliced from 3 exons. Lineage: Eukaryota; Metazoa; Arthropoda; Insecta; Diptera; Tephritidae. The record is from RefSeq and is a predicted model, not a curated record.
CUGGGCAGCAUUAAAGUUUCCAGGGAUAACGAACACACCGAUAAGUGGUUGGACGAUUAUAAAGGAACUAUGAACUCAUUAGAAGUAAUUCUAGCUAUUAUUCUAUUUUUCGACCAAAUAUUCUAUCUCGUGCUUUUGUGUGGGCUCAGAAAAUUUAUUCCUUUGAAGAGAACAUUAAGAUGCCGUAUAUGACCAUGAAAGAAGGCCAUUACUUUAGCAAAAGACCAUUUGAAAAUUGUAAAUAAUAUUGAUGCACAUACCCAUAUAUGUAUGUACAUACAUAUGUAUAUACAUACAUAUUAUGAAUGCAUGUUCCAAUAGAAACAAAUAUAAUUCCUAAACCUAUUAAACAUGUUUCUAUGAAUUACUGUUUAAAUAAAUUAAUUUCGAUUGCCUGGUGGGAGACUAACAUUGAUAGACACGUCAUCUCGAGAGAAAUAUUUCUUUCCAAUGAAAUGAUUCAGUUCUCAUGGUAUGGGGUUGUUGUCAAGUGUACAUCUGCAUAUGUAAUCAAUUGCCAAAAUGUAUAUCUUAGGUCAAUAGAUUAUCAUAUGUACAUAUACAUACAUCUUAAUUAGUCAUCAUAUACGUUUUGGGUUUGUUUGUAAGUAUGCCUGUUUAAUAUAUUUGAAUAUAUGUAUGUAUGUACAUAUUUCAGAUCAGAGGACGUAUGUGUUCUUAUAAUCGUGAGUAUAACAUAUUUAUUAUCAUGUAUUAUUUAAUAUUCUUAAUACAUAGAAGAAUAAAAAAACUAAUUGUAUUGCUGCACUCCGACUAAUGAUAAUACAAUUAUGGUGCAAAUCUUCGUCUCUCACAUGUAAAUAUGUACAUACAUAAACACUUGAAUUCAAAAAGCGAUUUGAAAUUUCAGAAGUGUGCCACACAUAUGUACAGACAUACAUACAUAUAUGUAUGAUAAAACGUAAGCUGCAACAACUAAAAUACAAUAACACGUAACUUUAUAAAUCCGCAUUUGGUUAUUUUACUGGUUUUAGCCGGUGCAUCAUAUUAAUUGUUUCAAAAUU